Molecule: non-coding RNA, 151 nt
Organism: Paramuricea clavata
Lineage: Eukaryota; Metazoa; Cnidaria; Anthozoa; Malacalcyonacea; Plexauridae
Source: the annotation of a GenBank genome assembly
AGUAUUAUCAACAGGCGUGAACAAAGUUGUGCGGCCCACUAUGAACAGUAUUGUCAACAUGUUGUUACAACAUUGUUCAACUGGAACAACAUGGUUGACAACUUGUUCAUAGUUGGCCGUACAACAUUGUUCACGCCUGUCGAUAUCAACU